AUGGUCAGGUCUGGGUUGGGUGUGAGGUUAAUGGUCAGGUCUGGGUUGGGUGUGAGGUUAAUGGUCAGGUCUGGGUUGGGUGUGAGGUUAAUGGUCAGGUCUGGGUUGGGUGUGAGGUUAAUGGUCAGGUCUGGGUUAAGUAUGAGGUUAAUGGUCAGGUAUGAGGUUAAUGGUCAGGUCUGGGUUAGGUAUGAGGUUAAUGGUCAGGCCUGGGUUAGGUAUGAGGUUAAUGGUCAGGUAUGAGGUUAAUGGUCAGGUCUGGGUUAGGUAUGAGGUUAAUGGUCAGGUAUGAGGUUAGGUAUGAGGUUAAUGGUCUGGGUUAGGUAUGAGGUUCCUGGUCAGGUCUGGGUUAGGUAUGAGGUUAAUGGUCAGGUCUGGGUUAGAUAUGAGGUUAAUGGUCAGGUCUGGGUUAGAUAUGAGGUUAAUGGUCAGGUUUUAAAAUCAGCUUACAGUAUAAGUACCUCUGAUUAGCCUGUAAGCCGAUAGCUACUGUCUGUGGUACAACACAAGAAAACUUUUCAGUUAGCUUUGCCACUGUCCUGUCGGUCUCUCUAUCCUCUCCAAUUCCCAUCUGUCUCACCCUUCUCGCUUUCCUCUUUCUAUCACAUCUGUUUCUCCCUGAACCCUACCUGUUAUUUGGCAAAGAAGGAGAGAGAGAGAGACAGAGCGACAUCAGAGACAGACAGUGACAGAGAGACAGAGACAGACAGUGACAGAGAGACAGAGAGACAGACAGUGACAGAGAGA
Molecule: long non-coding RNA, 747 nt
Organism: Oncorhynchus tshawytscha (Chinook salmon)
Lineage: Eukaryota; Metazoa; Chordata; Actinopteri; Salmoniformes; Salmonidae
Source: Ensembl